This 253-nucleotide ribosomal RNA is filed under the name uncultured bacterium. RNAcentral's name for it is "partial 16S ribosomal RNA". It matches the Rfam family "Bacterial small subunit ribosomal RNA", at positions 524 to 776 of the family's 1533-position model. The record is from RNAcentral.
UACGUAGGUGGCAAGCGUUGUCCGGAAUUAUUGGGCGUAAAGAGCGCGUAGGCGGUCCGAUAAGUCGGCUGUGAAAGUCAGGGGCUCAACCCUUGAAAGCCGGCCGAUACUGUCGGACUAGAGUCCGGAAGAGGCGAGUGGAAUUCCCGGUGUAGCGGUGAAAUGCGCAGAUAUCAGGAAGAACACCCGUGGCGAAGGCGGCUCUCUGGGACGGUACUGACGCUGAGACGCGAAAGCGUGGGGAGCGAACAGG